UGCAGUGGGUACGGGCAGACUAGAGUGCGGUAGGGGAGAUUGGAAUUCCUGGUGUAGCGGUGGAAUGCGCAGAUAUCAGGAGGAACACCGAUGGCGAAGGCAGAUCUCUGGGCCGUAACUGACGCUGAGGAGCGAAAGCGUGGGGAGCGAACAGGAUUAGAUACCCUGGUAGUCCACGCCGUAAACGUUGGGAACUAGAUGUAGGGACCAUUCCACGGUUUCUGUGUCGCAGCUAACGCAUUAAGUUCCCCGCCUGGGGAGUACGGCCGCAAGGCUAAAACUCAAAGGAAUUGACGGGGGCCCGCACAAGCGGCGGAGCAUGCGGAUUAAUUCGAUGCAACGCGAAGAACCUUACCAAGGCUUGACAUACACGAGAACGGGCCAGAAAUGGUCAACUCUUUGGACACUCGUGAACAGGUGGUGCAUGGUUGUCGUCAGCUCGUGUCGUGAGAUGUUGGGUUAAGUCCCGCAACGAGCGCAACCCUCGUUCUAUGUUGCCAGCACGUCAUGGUGGGAACUCAUAGGAGACUGCCGGGGUCAACUCGGAGGAAGGUGGGGAUGACGUCAAAUCAUCAUGCCCCUUAUGUCUUGGGCUUCACGCAUGCUACAAUGGCCGAUACAAAGGGCUGCAAUACCGUAAGGUGGAGCGAAUCCCAAAAAGUCGGUCUCAGUUCGGAUUGAGGUCUGCAACUCGACCUCAUGAAGUCGGAGUCGCUAGUAAUCGCAGAUCAGCAACGCUGCGGUGAAUACGUUCCCGGGCCUUGUACACACCGCCCGUCAAGUCAUGAAAGUCGGUAACACCCGAAGCCAGUGGCCCAACCGCAA
RNAcentral lists this ribosomal RNA (825 nucleotides) under Conyzicola nivalis. RNAcentral describes it as "bacterial SSU rRNA". It matches the Rfam family "Bacterial small subunit ribosomal RNA", at positions 622 to 1444 of the family's 1533-position model. The record is from RNAcentral. Lineage: Bacteria; Bacillati; Actinomycetota; Actinomycetes; Micrococcales; Microbacteriaceae.